This 255-nucleotide ribosomal RNA is filed under the name uncultured bacterium. RNAcentral's name for it is "partial 16S ribosomal RNA". It matches the Rfam family "Bacterial small subunit ribosomal RNA", at positions 524 to 776 of the family's 1533-position model. The record is from RNAcentral.
UACGUAGGGGUGCGAGCGUUUGUCCGGAAUUAUUGGGCGUAAAGAGCUCGUAGGCGGUCUGUCGCGUCUGCUGUGAAAACCCGAGGCUCAACCUCGGGCCUGCAGUGGGUACGGGCAGACUAGAGUGCGGUAGGGGAGAAUGGAAUUCCUGGUGUAGCGGUGGAAUGCGCAGAUAUCAGGAGGAACACCGAUGGCGAAGGCAGUUCUCUGGGCCGUAACUGACGCUGAGGAGCGAAAGCGUGGGGAGCGAACAGG